Molecule: ribosomal RNA, 422 nt
Filed under: uncultured bacterium
Lineage: Bacteria
Description: bacterial SSU rRNA
Rfam family: Bacterial small subunit ribosomal RNA
Source: RNAcentral
UGAGGAAUAUUGGACAAUGGGUGAAAGCCUGAUCCAGCCAUCCCGCGUGAAGGAUGACGGUCCUAUGGAUUGUAAACUUCUUUUGUAUAGGGAUAAACCUAGAUACGUGUAUCUAGCUGAAGGUACUAUACGAAUAAGCACCGGCUAACUCCGUGCCAGCAGCCGCGGUAAUACGGAGGGUGCAAGCGUUAUCCGGAUUUAUUGGGUUUGAAGGGUCCGUAGGCGGGCCGAUAAGUCAGUGGUGAAAUCUCAUAGCUUAACUAUGAAACUGCCAUUGAUACUGUCGGUAUUAAGUAAAUUAGAGGUAGCUGGAAUAAGUAGUGUAGCGGUGAAAUGACUAAAUAAUACUUAGAAAACCAAUUGCGAAGGGAGGUUACAAGGAUUUAAAUGACGCUGAUGGGCGAAAGCGUGGGGAGCAAACA